AGGAAAGUAGGGGAUCGCAAGACCUUGCACUUUUGGAGCGGCCGAUGUCUGAUUAGCUAGUUGGUGGGGUAAUGGCCUACCAAAGCUUCGAUCAGUAGCUGGUCUGAGAGGACGGCCAGCCACACUGGGACUGAGACACGGCCCAGACUCCUACGGGAGGCAGCAGUGGGGAAUUUUGGACAAUGGGCGCAAGCCUGAUCCAGCCAUGCCGCGUGAGUGAAGAAGGCCUUCGGGUUGUAAAGCUCUUUCAGCCGGGAAGAAAAGGUUGCGAUUAAUAAUCGCAAUUUAUGACGGUACCGGAAGAAGAAGCACCGGCUAACUACGUGCCAGCAGCCGCGGUAAUACGUAGGGUGCGAGCGUUAAUCGGAAUUACUGGGCGUAAAGGGUGCGCAGGCGGUUUUGUAAGUCAGAUGUGAAAUCCCCGGGCUUAACCUGGGAACUGCGUUUGAAACUACAAGGCUA
This 462-nucleotide ribosomal RNA is filed under the name uncultured ammonia-oxidizing bacterium. RNAcentral describes it as "bacterial SSU rRNA". It matches the Rfam family "Bacterial small subunit ribosomal RNA", at positions 190 to 643 of the family's 1533-position model. The record is from RNAcentral.